GGGCCCGGCUGUCCCGCUUGGGCGUCCUCAGUGGAACCGCACACCCUUUCUCAGCGCGCCGGUCGUUUGGUCCUGUAGGGCCGAGGGGAAUUCGUGCGGUGUUGAGCACGCGGGAAGCACUUAACGAAAGGGAGCUGCCCCUCAGCCCUCGUGAGUCCGAUGUAAAGGAGUGAAGGAGACGAAGAACUGAAUCAGUAGUUGACCGCCUGUGAGCUGGCGAGCUGUGCCCUGGUAGGGCCUUAAAUCCCAGCCCCAGAAGUCGGAGGCAGGGCAGGCACCCCAAAGCGUGGAAGAGAUGCACCUGCGGAGUGAAAAUGCUGCUAUUGCUUCUAGGGUCAGCCUUGGUUCCUGGAACAAAGGAGCCGCAUGACUCGGGUCUGGCGAUGAUGUUGGGCUCUGCAGUGUCCUCAUCCUUCCCCCUCUCUGGGUAAUGAUAUCUUCCCAGGGUUUAAAGUGUGUCCUCUCUGCCAGUAGCUUGUCUCCACAGCCUCAUCUUUAAUUCCACCUGCCCCACCCAUUUUGGACACUGCAGCCAAGUUGCAGCAGAUCCGCAAACCUGGUAAUCCCUCACUUGAAAGUGCUGGAGGCUUUAGGAUGGGGUUCAGGGCCUGUGCAAUCUAACCGCCUGCUUUUUUUUUUUUUUUUUUUUUUUUUUUUUUGAGACGGAGUCGAAUCUCACUGUCUCCCAGGCUGGAGUGCAGUGGCGCCAUCACAGCUCAUUGCAGCCUCAACCUCCUGAGCUCAAGCCAUCCUCCCACCUCAGCCUCCCAAGUACCUGGGGUUACAGGCAAGCACCAUUACGCCUAGCUAAUUUUUCUGGGUUUUUUUUUUUUGUUUUUUUUUUUGUAUAGAUGGAUUUCGCCAUGUUGUCCAGGCUGGUCUUAAACUCUCGCUCUGUCUCCCAGGCUAGAGUGCAGUGGGGCAAUCUCGGCUCCCUGCAACCUCUGCCUCCUGGGUUCAAGCAAUUAUCCUGCCUCAGCCUACCAGUUAGCUGGGAUUACAUGUGUGCGCCACCGCGCCCGGCUAAUUUUUUUAUUUUUAGUAGAGGCGGGGUUUCACCAUGUUGACCAGGCUGGUCUCAAGACUACUGACCUCAAGUGAUCCCCCCCCCCCCCCGCCUCGGCCUCCCAAAGUGCUGGGAUUACAGACGUGAGCCACCGUGCCCAGCGGUUUUGCAUUUUCAAUUGUGGGGCACGGUGAGAAAAGACUUGAAGAAAGCAAGGGAGUGAGAUCCAUGGAAAUGUAGGGGGGAACCUUGCAGGCCUAUGGAACAGCCAGUGCAAAGGGCCUGGGGUGGGAGCUGCCUCAGGGUAGCCAGGAUGGCAGGAGGCACAGCUGCCGAGAGGAAGCAGGGGCCAGGUCCUGCAAGGUUAGAGGCCAUUGCUACUCCUGAACACAUUGGCAGGUUUUGAGCAGAGAAGUGACAUGAUUUUAGUUUUCUCAGGAUCCCUCUGGCUGCUGUGUGGAGGAAGAGGGGAGGGUGAGAGCAGGGAUACCUCUUAGGAGGCUGUGGUAGUAAUCCCAGGGAGCCAGGAUGGGAGCAGAGGAGGGGACAGGAAUUGGAUUCUGGAUGCAUUUUGGAGGGAGCAUGAAGGAAAGCGGGGUCAAAGGUUCCUCUGAGGCCUUGGCUGCCUCUCUUAUUCAUCUACAUCCAUUCUGUCAAGGACACCUUUCAUUUCUUCUUGGCACUGUCUCAAGGCCACCACGCUGCUGCCCACCUGACCAGCAGUGGCCUUUCCAGGCCUUCCAUCUUCUCCCCAGCAGCUUAUCUCUGCGUAGCCAGGUCCCAUUUCCCACACACCUUUUUUUAAAGUGUGUUGCACUGCUCUGGGUGCAGGACUGUAGCAGUGACCAGGGCAGCUCCAGAUGAAGCUUCUGCUCACAGGAACCUUUUCUACUGAAACAGAUGAUACCUAAACUCUCAGCUGUGUGACUUUAAGCAACUUGCACAACCUCUCUGUACUUCAGUUGCCUCCAUCUUCAAAUGGGGAUUAAAAAGUGUUGACAUCAUAGUGGUUGUGAGGAUUACAUGAUUUGAUAGUUUAUAAAGCACUUAGAACUUGUGAAGAAGAGUGCCUGGGGAUUGCCUAAGGUCAGGAGUUCAAGACCAGCCUGGCCAACAUGGAGAAACCUCAUCUCUGCUAAAAAUACAAAAACUAACCACGCAUGGUAGUGCACACCUCUAGUCCCAGCUACUUGGGGGGCUGAGGCAGGAGAAUCACUUGAACCUGGGAGGUGGAGAUUGCAGUGAGCCAAGAUUGCGCCACUGCACUCCAGCCUGGGCAACAGAGCAAGACUCGGUCUCCAAAGAAAAAAAAAGAACUGCCUGGCUACGGAAUAAGAACUACAUGGAGUUAUUAAAUCAAAAUCGGUGCACAAAUGAUAAUUCUUAAGAGUGAGUGCUACAGAGAACACAAAAGGCAAGGCACAGAGAGAUGACCUGGGAGGCAGGGAAGGAAAGCAUUCCCAGAGGUGAGUGGUUAGUGAAGGCUUGUCAGAGAUGGGACGAGGAGAAGCCUAGGGGGCACAGAAGAUGCAAAGGUGCUGAGGCCAGGGCAAAUUCAGAAUUUUUUUUUUUUUUGAGAUGGAGUCUCGCUCUGUCUCCCAGGCUGGAGUUCAGUGGUGCAAUCUCGGCUCACUGCAACCUCCACCUCCUGGGUCCAAGCAAUUAUCUGCCUCAGCCUCCAGAGUAGCUGGGAUUACAGGCAUCCACCACCACGCCCGGCUAAUUUUUGUGUUUUCAGUAGAGACAGGAUUUCACCAUCUUGGCCAGGCUGGUCUUGAACUCCUGGCCUCAUGAUCCACAUGCCUCAGCCUCCCAAAGUGCUGGGAUUACAGGCGUGAGCCACCGCGCCCAACCCAGAAUUCUCUUUUUUUGGGGGGGGGUGGGGGACAGAGUCUCACUCUGUCAUCCAGGCUGGAGUGCAGUAGCGCGAUCUUAGCUCACUGCAACCUCUGCCUCCCAGGUUCAAGCGAUUCUGCCUCAGCCUCCCGAGUAACUGGGAUUAUAGAUGCCCGCCACUACGCCUGGCUAAUUUUUUUUUUUUUUUUGUAUUUUUAGUAGAGAUGGGGUUUUACCAUGUUGGCCAGGCUGGUCUCAAACUCAUUACCUCCAGUGAUCCACCUGCCCUGGCCUGCCAAAGUGUUGGGAUUACACAGGCGUGAGCCACCAUGCCUGGCCCUGGCCCAGAAUUUUCAAGAAAUCUAAGGAAGGCUUUUUUGUGCUCUAAGUGUCCUUGUCUGUAAGGUAGGGGGGAUAAAGUGCCCUUGACUUCCCAAGGUUACUAUGCAGAUUGAACAAUAUAAUCCUCCCGGGUUGGCCUUGAGUCUUGUCAGACCUGAAGCUUAUGACAAUUUGAGAGCUCGCUUUGAGAAAAGAAACACAAAAAAUGAGGUGUGUGGCUUUAGAAGGAGCACAAAUGGGGUCCCCGAUGUUUAAGCUGCUUUAGUGUUACAGUAAAGCCACCUCUGAAUACCCAGAAGUGUUAGCUCUUACAACUUCCACCAACUCAGUCUUCUCCAAGCCUCUUGGUGGACUCAGAGGAGGACAGGGAGGCAGCCACUCUGGCCGGCCAGGGCCCUCCUCCCAGGUCCCUGGAACACAGGCGCACCAACCACAGCUGCGUCCUGGCCUGGGCAUCACGUGACGUCCCAGAGUGAUUCACGCUGCUAUUUCAGUGCUGCUGCAGUCAAGGGUAGGGAGAGGCAUGGCGAGGCUGUAUCUGGAGUCAGCUUGGAGGCCGUAGUUCCUGCAGCAGUGGCACUGAAGGUACAGCGAGGGUGACUGAGUCUCAGCAGAGCAAAUUCCCAACUUUAAAGUUUUCUCAAUAUCAGAAAAACUAGGAGAGCUGGAUCUCAGUGUAAGUGGGGAGUAGGGGUUAGGGAAGGGCUGCAGCUCAGAAUUGGGGCUCUGUAGACCUGGAAUUUUUGUUUGAAACUCCUAAGAAAUCUCUUAAUUUCUUACUUAACUGAGUGAUCCUAACUUGUAGCUCUUCUGCAAAGAUAGAACUGGCAUCCUUAUUAGUGGGGAAAAUAAAGUACUGUAGAGUUCUGUCCAAUUCCGAGGACUUGUAUAGAGCCAGGCACUGUGCCAGAUGCUUCAAGGAAUAAAAUGAUAAUUAUUAUCUAAUAAUUAUUAAUCAGAGAACCCUGGAGCCCAGUCCUGGGCCUUGCUAUCCACACCCCCCUCCCUGGGAGAUCCAGCCAGUCUUGUGGCUAUAAAUGCCAUCUCAGAUGACUCCCAUAAACCUGUCCUCUGCACAGAUCUCACCCCCCAGUCCCAGACUUAUCUAUCCAGCUGCCAUCUGGACAUCUUCGUGUGGAUGGCUGACAGACUUCCCGGGGUGCUCAAAUCAUAAUUCCCAAUAUCCCUCUCAACCCCGCCUGCCCUUGACUUCCUCUUGCCAAUGGCAUCAUUAUUCUUUCAGCGGCUCAGGCUGAAAACUGUGGAAGCAUUCUCGACUCAUCCUCUUUCACAGCCCGCAUCCAGUCCAUCAGCUAAUUCCGUCAGCUGGACGCAGACCCCCGGGACCCCCUCAGGGUGUAGGGGGAAGGAGUGUUGCUCCUUGGACUGGUAGAUGCCCAGAGUCAGAGGUGACAAUGUGCUUAGACACCCUGCAAGGGGCCCCCCCAGCCUAGGCACGCAGGCCAUAUAUAGCCUCUGUAAGAUGUGGGGUUGGGUUAGGGGGCGGGAGGAGAGACUCUGUAUUUCAGGGGACCACUGAGGUGAGGCCAGCUCAGCAGCAGCCAUGGCACACAGUGGAUCAGAGCCCUUCCCAAGGGUUAAGGACCAUGUGAACUGGGAACAGGAUGAGUUCCUCACAGCUGAGUAGGAUAGAGGCUUACGUCAGAACAAGGUGAUCCCAAGGCAAUGGUUUUUUUUCUUUCUUUCUUUUUUUUUUUUUUUUUUUGAGACAGAGUCUCUUUCUGUCACCCGGUCUGGAGUGAAGUGGCGCAGUCUCAGCUCUCUGCAACCUCUGCCUCCCAGGUUCAAGCAAUUCUUCUGCCUCAGCCUCCCAAGUAGCUGGGAUUACAGGUAUGUGCCACCAUGCCUGGCUAAUUUUUGUAUUUUUAGUAGAGAUGCGUUAUUUCCAUGUUGGCCAGGCUGGUCUCGAACUACUGACCUCAGGUGAUCCACUCGCCUCGGCCUCCCAAAGUGCUGAGAUUAUAGGCAUGAGCCACUGCGCCCGGCCGAGGCAAUGGUUUUCAGCUAGGGUGUCCCCAGCUGUCAUUUGGCAAUGUCUGGAGACAUUUGGGUUGUCAUAACUGAGUGUGUGUGUGUGUUUGUGUGCACAUGCUGUAGUGGCCAAGGAUGCUGCUAAACACCCUACAAGGCACAGAAUAGCCAUCACAAUUAUUUGGCUCCAAAUGUCAAUAGAGCUGAGGGAGAGAAAUAUUAAUAUAAACACAGCAGUUCCUGCACACCGAGGUUGAGGCUCAAGGGUGAAACCUGCCUGCUACAUGGCAAGCAGAUUGCAACUGACCACAGCACAUAAUAUGACACCCAAUGGCAAGAGAACGAUGUCAAGGGUCACUGAGAGAGAUGAAAGAUGGUGCAUAUUCAUUGACACCCCUCUCAUUGCAAAGUGGGAGGUCUGUGUCCCCUCCCCUUGAAUUCCAUGGAGUUGGGACUACUCUGACCAAUAGAAUACAACAGAAAUAACAUCUUGCAGUUUCCAAGCCUUAUAAAACUGGCAGCUUCCACUUCUUGUUUCUUGGGACACACUGCCUUGGAGCCUGUGCUGCCACUGAAGAAGUCUGAGUGCCCUGAGGCCACCAUGGUGUGGGGAAGCCCACGCUAGCCUUGUGGCAAGCCAACUGUUCCGCAACAUAGUGCGGGCUCCAGGUAACAUGAAGGAAGCUGUCUUGGGCCCUCUAGCCCAGCCCAGUCUCCAGCGAAUCCCACUGAGUGACCCUAGUCAAGCCCACAUGGAGCAGAAGAAUCACCUAGCUGAGCCCUGACCCACAAAAUCUUGAGAAGGAAUUAAAUUGCUAUUGUUCCCAGCCAGAAAAGCAAGGUAGCUUAAGGUAGUUUGUUCCACAGCAGUAGGUAACUAGAACAGUCAUGUCCAAGGAUUUGUUCCUGCACUUUCCCCUUCGCCACGUAUGGCAGAAAUUCUCAGGAAUUCUCAUGAGCCAGUGUCAUGCUAGUGCUUGUUGCAUCUGCUCCUCUCCAGCCGCCCCAGCCCACUGAUCCAAGCACUCUGUGAAAUGACUUUUGUGUGUCGACUUCUUCCCACGAGGAAGACGUUUCUUUCAUUGCCAUGUGCUGGACCCCAGUGCAGAGCCCGGGGCAUUGUCAGUGCUUAGUGUUUGUUGAAUGAGCCAAUGGAACUGGUCACCCUCCGCUGCCCUGGGGGUCCCUCAGCCUUUCCCAGAAGGUCCCUUGGACCUUCCCUCUGGGCUUCCUCACUCCCUUUUCUGCUUAUUCUUUUCUGAGCCGAAUUGUUGUAGCCCCUCAGAUCCAAAUGGCCCAACCCCACUGUCUCCUUCCCAGCACCUCUGUUGAGAAAUACCAAGUGGUAGAGAGUGUGCCUGUGUGGACGUGGGUGGGAUACGUGCCUCUUCUACACCGCCCGUAGGAAGGUACGCUUAGCAAUAGCUAUUGAAAACACAAAAGUGAUUCUGCUCUUAGGAAUGUCUCCCGCAGGGACCCUACCCUGGUGGCACAGGACGUCUCACACAGCACUGUCUGGGACAGCAAAAGGGAUGGAAACCACCUGAGUCCAACUAUGGAGGACACUGGAAAACACGAUGCUGCCUCCAUAGGAUGGGAUAUUGGCAAGUGUGAAGAAACAACAUUUGGUUCUGGAGGCUGCAAGCCCAGGUUCAAGGCAUCAGCAGGUGUGGUUUCCUCCGAGGCCUCUCCCCGUGGCUUGCAGAUGGCUGCCUUCUUCCUGCAUCCUCACGUGGUCCCUCCUCUGCACUCCAGCAUCCUUAAUGUCUCUUUGUGUGUCCAACUUUCCGCCCCCCCCCACCCCUUUUUUUUCUGAUGGAGUCCACCCAGACUGGAGUACAGUGGCGUGAUCUCAGCUCACUGCAACCUCCACUUCCUGGGCUCAAGUGAUUCCCCCGCUUCAGCCUCCCGAGUAGCUGGGAUUACAGGCAUGUGCCACCAUGCCUGGCUAAUUUUUGUAUUUUUAAUAGAGAUGGGAUUUCACCAUAUUGGCCAGGCUGGUCUCAAACUCCUGACCUCAAGUGAUCCACCCAUCUCGGCCUCCCAAAGUGUUGAGAUUACAGGUGUGAGCCACUGCGCCCAGCCCCGAACUUUCCUCUUAAAAGGAUAUCAGUCAGGCCAGGCGCAGUGGCUCAUACCUGUAAUCCCUGCACUUUGGGAGGUUGAGGCGGGUGGAUUACUUGAGGUCAGGAGUUGGAGACCAGCCUGGCCAACAUGGUGAAAUCCCGUGUCUACUAAAAAUACAAAAAUUAGCCGGGCGUGGUGGCAGGCGCCUGUAGUCCCAGCCACUCGGGAGGCUGAGGCAGGAGAAUUGCUUGAACCUGGGAGGCAGAGGUUGCAGUCAGCUGAGAUCAUGCUACUGCACUCCAGUCUGGGCAACAGAGCAAGACUCUAUCUCAAAAAAAAAAAAGACACCAGUCAGACUGGAGUAGGGCUCACCCUAAUGGCCUGAUUUUAACUUAAUUACCUCUUUUUUUUUCUUUCUUUUUUUGAGACAGAGUCUCGCUCUGUCACCCAGGCUUGAGUGCAGUGGCGCGAUCUCAGCUCACUGCAACCUCUGUCUCCCGGGUUCAAGUGAUUCUCCAGCCUUAGCCUCCCAAGUAGCUGGAAUUACAGGCGUGUACCACCACACCAAGCUAAUUUUUGUAUUUUUUAGUAGAGACAGGGUUUCUUCAUGUUGGUCAGGCUGGUCUCAAACUCCUGACCUCAGGUGAUACACCUGCCUCGGCCUCCCAAAGUGAUGGGAUUAUAGGUGUGAGCCACUGCACCCAGCCUUAAUUACCCCUUUAAAGGCCCUAUAUGCAAAUACAGUCACAUUCUGAGCUACUGGGGGUUAGGGCUUCAACAUAGGAAUUCAGGCAGACAUGAUUCAGCCCAUAACAAGGGCUUUCACUUUUUUUUUUUUUGUAGAAACAGGGUCUCACUAUGUUGCCCAGGCUACUCUUGAACUCCUGGGUUCAAGUGAUUCUCCAGCCUCAGCCCCCAGAUUAGCUGGGGCUACAGGUGCACCAGCACGCCCAGCUAAUAUUUUUACUUUCAUUUUUUUUAGACGGAGUUUAGCUAUCUUUGCCCAGGCUAGAGUGCAAUAGCGUGAUCUUGGCUCACCACAACCUCUGCCUUCCGGGUUCAAGAAUUCUCCUGCCUCAGCCUCCCAAGUAGCUGGGAUUACAGGCAUGCACCACCAUGACCGGCUAAUUUUGUAUUUUUAGUAGAGACGGGGUUUCUCCAUGUUGGUCAGGCUGCUCUCGAACUCCCGACCUCAGAUGGUCUGCCCGCCUCAGCUUCCCAAGGUGCUGGGAUUACAGGCGUGAGCCACCGCGCCCGGCCAAUAUUUUUUGUGGAGUCAGGGUCCUACUAUGUUUCCCAGGCUGGUCUUGAACUUCCAGGCUCAAGCGAUCCUCCUGCCUUGGCCUCCUAAAGUACUGUGAUUCCAGGCCUGAGCCACAGCACCCUGCUGGCUUUCACUUUUUACUUUAUUUCUAUGUUGUUAAAAUCUAUUACAAUAAACAUUACUUUUAAAGGAUUUUGUGCACUUCAAUCCAAAUGUCCCUGAAGCAUCUACCUCCCUCCUGGGCCUUCUCUGAAGUCAGAGUAGGGGCAGCUGAAGCCCUCCCUCUGCUGGCUCCAGGAACGAAACCCCCUGGCCCACUAAGGCCCUUCCCCUGGGGAGGGUGGCGUGGGAUAAGAACACUCAGUAUCUGUCUGGCCCUCUCAAGAUCACUGAGGACUUUCCCAGACAGCCGACAUGGUCUUCAGAUCAGUCUGCCAAACGUCACAUAGAGGCUGGGCACGGUGGCUCACGUCUGUAAUCCCAGCACUUUGGGAGGGCAACGUGGGUGGAUCACCUGAAGUCAGGAGUUCGAGACCAGGCUGGCCGACAUUGCAAAACCUCGUCUCUACAAAAAUAUAAAAGUUAGCUGGGCGUGGUGGCACGCGCCUGUAGUCCCAGCUACUCGGGAGGCUGAGGCAGGAGAAUCACUUGAACCUGGGAGGCGGAGGUUGCAGUGGACCAGGAUCGUACCACUGCACUCCAGCCUGGCCAACAGAGUAAGACUCCAUCUCAAAAAAAAAAAAAAAAUCAGGUGGAGGGGCAUCCUCUGUUUUCCAGGCUCCUGGUUUAUAGCUGCAAGCUCUGGACAUUUAAUACCUUGUAAUCCAUCCUUCCCUUAUAUACCUCUCAACAUAAUGACUGUACAAUAUGGCCAAUGAAACGGAUAGUAAAAUGAAACAUAGGCAAGUAAUAAAGUGAGAUAUGAAGACAGUAGUACAACCUGGAUGAGGGUGGAAUGCAAAAUUGUCAUCAGAGAAGACGACAGGAGGACCUGAGAGCUGGAGGGACGGACGCUUAUCUACCCAAAUGAGGCUAUAAAAAGUAGAAAGAUGGCAGGGUAAAAAUGGGGGAGGGCUGCCACUUAAGACUCUCAGGAAACAGUGAUGCAUCAGACUUUAUCAUUAAGUCCCAGGGGAGAGGAGUGGAUCUGGGGAUCCCUUUAGAUAUGGUAGAAUUCUCCUGGGUCCUGCUCUGGUCUUAAAUCUCAGACCAGUAGCAGGAAAACCCUAACUGUACUGUGGUCCUGAAUGUCACUGCAACUUCAGCCCUGCUGUGGUGGUGUAUCUGCUCCUCUGGCUGGCUCUGCCACCUUGAAAGGUGAGACCAUGUGGAGCAGAGCCAAGGGGCCUCAGCUGACAGCCAGCACCAACCAUCAGUCAUGUGAGUGAGACCACCUUGGACCCCCAACCCCAGUUGGGUUGUCAGAUGACUAUAGCUGCAGGUACAAGAGUGACCCAGUGACACCAGCAGAUGAACCGGCUAGCUUAGCUCAGCCCAAACUGCUGACUUAGAACUGUUGUUAUGUUAAGCCAGUACAUUUUCAGUGACUCAUUACAAAGCAGUAGAUAACUGUGACAGUCUAAGAGGAUCUAAGUUUGGAAACAGGAUUGAAUAUUUAAGAUAACUGAUUUGCCAGAUUUAUAAGUUUAUUAGUAUAUAAGAGUUGCUUGGCUGGGCACAGUGGCUCAUGCCUGUAACCCUAACACCUUGGAAGGCUGAAGCAGGAAGAUUGCUUGAGCCCAGGAGUUUGAGACCAGCCUUGGCAACACAGUGAGACCCAAUCUCUUAAAAAAAAAAAAAAAAAAAAAAACUCCGUCUCCCUCUCGCUCUCCGUCUCCCUCUCGCUCUCCCUCUCCCCACGGUCUCCCUCUCAUGCGGAGCCGAAGCUGGACUGUACUGCUGCCAUCUCGGCUCACUGCAUCCUCCCUGCCUGAUUCUCCUGCCUCAGUCUGCCGAGUGCCUGCGAUUGCAGGCACGCGCCGCCACGCCUGACUGGUUUUGGUGGAGACAGGGUUUCGCUGUGUUGGCCGGGCCGGUCUCCAGCCCCUAACCGCGAGUGAUCCGCCAACCUCGGCCUCCCGAG
This 10590-nucleotide long non-coding RNA is filed under the name Homo sapiens (human). RNAcentral's name for it is "HSALNT0176537". The record is from RNAcentral. Lineage: Eukaryota; Metazoa; Chordata; Mammalia; Primates; Hominidae.